This 253-nucleotide ribosomal RNA is filed under the name uncultured bacterium. Its description in RNAcentral is "partial 16S ribosomal RNA". It matches the Rfam family "Bacterial small subunit ribosomal RNA", at positions 524 to 776 of the family's 1533-position model. The record is from RNAcentral.
UACGGAGGGUGCAAGCGUUAUCCGGAAUUACUGGGUUUAAAGGGUGCGUCGGCGGCUUCAUAAGUCAGGGGUGAAAGCCCAUCGCUUAACGAUAGAAUUGCCUUUGAUACUGUAAAGCUUGAAAGGGGUUGAGGUCAGCAGAAUGUGGCAUGUAGCGGUGAAAUGCAUAGAUAUGCCAUAGAACACCGAUUGCGAAGGCAGCUGGCUGGGCCUACUUUGACGCUGAGGCACGAAAGCGUGGGGAGCGAACAGG